AGAGGUGUUCCCUCUGGUGCAUGGCGUGGGUUUCAAACCUUUUG
Molecule: transfer RNA, 44 nt
Filed under: Palpitomonas bilix
Lineage: Eukaryota
Description: partial Selenocysteine transfer RNA
Source: RNAcentral